GGCUCAGAACGAACGCUGGCGGCAUGCCUAACACAUGCAAGUCGAACGGCAGCAUGAGGGAGCUUGCUCUCUUGAUGGCGAGUGGCGGACGGGUGAGGAAUGCAUCGGAAUCUGCCCAGUCGUGGGGGAUAACCCGGGGAAACCCGGACUAAUACCGCAUACGACCUUCGGGUGAAAGCGGGGGACCCUUCGGGGCCUCGCGCGAUUGGAUGAGCCGAUGCCGGAUUAGCUUGUUGGCGGGGUAAUGGCCCACCAAGGCGACGAUCCGUAGCUGGUCUGAGAGGAUGAUCAGCCACACUGGGACUGAGACACGGCCCAGACUCCUACGGGAGGCAGCAGUGGG
This 343-nucleotide ribosomal RNA is filed under the name uncultured Lysobacteraceae bacterium. RNAcentral describes it as "bacterial SSU rRNA". It matches the Rfam family "Bacterial small subunit ribosomal RNA", at positions 21 to 358 of the family's 1533-position model. The record is from RNAcentral. Lineage: Bacteria; Pseudomonadati; Pseudomonadota; Gammaproteobacteria; Lysobacterales; Lysobacteraceae.